RNAcentral lists this long non-coding RNA (3954 nucleotides) under Sus scrofa (pig). Its description in RNAcentral is "lncRNA (ENSSSCG00035041218.1)". The record is from RNAcentral. Lineage: Eukaryota; Metazoa; Chordata; Mammalia; Artiodactyla; Suidae.
UUUUUUUUUUUUUUUUUUUUUUUGCCUUUUCUAGGUCCACUCCCACGGCAUAUGGAGGUUUCCAGGCUAGGGGAGCAGGAGCGGCCCUAGAAAAGGAAAAAAGACAAAAAAAAUUUUUAAAUAAAAUUAAAAAAAAUUUAGUUAAUUAUAACCAAGAACAAAACGCACCAACAGAAGGCCUUACAGUGAUUUUCCAAUUCUUCAGAGAAUUGUUCAGAUUCUCCCUUUGAAUAUUUCAUUACUCUGAUCAGGGUAGCGUAACUACUUAGGCUAUUAAAAGAUGGAACUGAGUCAAUCAAUAGUUCACAUACUUUAAGGUUUAUUUUGGGAUUUCAGGAGAUGAGGAUGAUAAGAUAAAAUGAGGAAAGUGGGAUUAUGAAUAUGCUACUAGAGUUUGCUAGUAAUUUUCUGUUUGGUCCUUUUUCCAUCCCCAGACUAAUUUUCCACCAUUGUGGCCCUGCUCUGUGCUCCAAAAGCUGACCUCUAUGGGUAGCGUCACUGGGUUCAUGCAGGCAGGCUUCUAUGUGGGUUUGACCAAUAGAAAGCCCUGGAAGGAGAUCAAAGGAGGAGGAAAGAAAGUGGGGGAGGGGAGUGUUGCUUCUUUAUUCCUUCCUUGGUCUGGCUGUAUUUUCUGGCAGUGGCUGGAUCCCUCCAGGACUAUAGUUUCUGUCAGACAGCCCCUCCUCUAUGGCUCCAGCUCUCUCCAGCUCUCUCACUGAGCUCUAGGAAGGAAUGCUAUUUCUUCUCUUUGCUCCUUUGGACCUAGUAAUGAUAAUGGCUUCCCACCGCAGUUAGUUUCUGGGUGACAAGAACCCCAUGUUACCCUUAACUCUCUGAAAAUAAUCCCUUCAUUAAAAGUCUCCUGAACCAUCAGAGUCAUACUGUUUCCUGCCAGAAGAAUUCAAACCACAGACCUAUAAAGCUAGCAAUCUUCCUCCUUUGCAUCUGAGCAGUUAUCACAAAGGUUAUUCAUCUUCCAGAGCAAUUCCUUCACACCAAGCUCGGCAUGUGAGCUCUCAGGUUUCUCAGGCAGAAAUGACACCUUUUAAACUGGUCAGUGUAGGAGGGCAUUCUUGCAAAACAGCUGGCAGAAUGGAAGGGCCAACACUUAACCAAUUCUCCAGGCAGGAGUCUGCUACAUGUCAAGAAUAAAAUGUUUCCAAAGAGAUGCCACUUCCUAUUUCUCCCUGAGCUUCCUCUAGCUGAGAGCUUAGAAUCAAAGUCAGCAUUGUGUUUUCACACCAAAUACCUACAAGUUGUAUCACUGCCUGAGGAAGCUGUCCUGUGUGUGUCACUUCUCUUGGCUAGUUUCUCAGACCUGAGGAUCUGCUUACCACUAGCCAAGCAUCCAGAAAGAGAGCCAACCAUCUUAUAUCACUAGCCACAUGUUUGUGAUCUUUCUUUCUUUCUUUCAUCUCAGAAUAAACCUUUCUUCUGCAGUAAGCAAAAGAUGAGCAGGAUGAGAAAGUUCUGCUUUGCACAGCCUGGCCUGUCUCUUUAACAGAUCUGACCAGAUUAGCAUUUUUCUUUUCCCCUGGAGAAGACUGGCAUAUGCUUAUACCAUAAUCUGCUCUGAGCUCCUUCUUUGGAUUUUUCUUGUACCAAGGCAACUGAAGUUGAGGUUAGAUGUUAAUUGAAAUCACCUGGGAGUCUCUAACCCCUUCACCUUGCUUUCUCUUGGCACCAGUAUCCUGGGAGUUACUCUAUUUCUGAAUAUUGGGGCAGUCUUUCGAUCAAUCAAGAGCCUAUUUAAAGAAUUCUUCUAGGAGGUUGAUAAGAACCCAUGUGGCUUAUGUCAACAAAGCACUCCAACAAGGAUUCCAAACAUCACCCUCUGCAACCAGCAAAGCACUCAGACAGCAAGAGUUGCUAAAACAAAGACAGGCAGAUCCCUCUCUUCAGCCUGAAGGCAACACUGAGAAGCAGUAGGAUUAACAAAAUGUGGUUCACGCUGCGGUAUAUCCAUUUCUAACUCUUGUUACCCUUAAGUGUUCAUUUCAAAGUUUAUUUUUAUUGGUGAACUCUAUAAGCAGCUGGGUGGAUAUACACCAAAUGUUAGUAGUGGUGUCUCUAGGUAGUAGGUAUGAGUAACUUUUAUUUCUUAAUGUAUAUUUCUGAAAUUAUCCAAAUUGUCUUUUUUUUUUUUGUCUUUUUGCCAUUUCUUGGGCUGCUCCCGGCAUAUGGAGGUUCCCAGGCUAGGGGUCGAAUUGGAGUUGUAGCCACUGGCCUACGCCAGAGCCACAGCAACUCGGGAUCCGAGCCGCGUCUGCGACCUACACCACAGCUCACGGCAAUGCUGGAUCCUUAACCCACUGAGUAAGGCCAGGAAUCGAACCCACAACCUCAUCGUUCCUAGUCAGAUUCGUUAACCACUGAAGCAUGACAGGAACUCCAUGAAAUUUUCCAAAUUUUCUACAAACACCUAUGAUUUUUGCAAUCAGGGAAAAAUGAUUAAACAAAAACUAUAAGCAUUCAGGAAUUUCAGUUUUUCAUAAGAAUCAAGUGUAUAUAGGCAUUCCCAUCAUAGCACAGCAGAAACAAUCCAACUAGGAACCAUGAGGUUGCAGGUUCGAUCCCUGGCCUCACUGAGUGGGUUGAGAAUCUGGUGUGGUGUAGGUUGCAGACACAGCUCAGACCCUGCAUGGCUGUGGCUGAGGUGCAGGCCAGCAGCUACAGCUCCAAUUAGAUGCCUAGCCUGGGAACCUCCAUACGCCAUGGGUGUGGUCCUAAAAAGACAAAAAAAAAAAAAAGAAUCAAGUUUUUAUAAAUUUUAUAACUCAAAAUCCAAAUUACAUUUCUUAGCUUUUGCGUAAUUUAAGAUUUUCAGUACUACAAUCAUUUUAUGAACUAUGUUUUAAAAUUAGGAAACUACUCAAAAUGUAAAAAAGGAUACUAAAUUGGGUUUAACAUGUAAAAUUAUUCUGGUACACAAUUACAACCUUAACUGAGAUAAUUUAGACUCUUCAAGGUCACAAUUUACUAUUUUCAUACUCUGAAGCCCUCCCAAUACAGAUGAAAAGUGGAACUGCUUCUUUUUCUAAGACCAUGCAAACGAUAUCAUAUGCAGUGAUAUGGCUAAGAGACUACAGACAAAAAACAGCAGACUAGUGUUCCUUCCACCACAAAUGCUAGCCAAUAAAAACUUUCCAGUCUACAACUGAUUAAUACUUGACACCAGAUCUCUGGAAAAGAAAGCUAAUCGUUGUUGGCUGUUGGCUAAAGCAACAGACACACUCAGAAACCUGCCUACUACUAUAUCAUGACUGCUGUUUACUACGAUAACUGAUUUUUCAAUUUAGUGCCAUUUAAACAGAAACCUGGAAUAUGUACUAGCUUUUCUAAGAGCUACCUUUUUCAUAAUCUAUAAUAGCUAAACAUGUGUUAUUCACUGUCUUAUAGUGCUGAAAUAAAUUAACAUGGAAUCUUGGAAACCAUAAGCAUCUUUACUAGCUUCAGGAAGCUAGUAAAUGUGAACAAGUGAUUCCUUUUAAACUGUCCUAAUGUAAUGGUAAAUGGCCUCUUUUCUAAUUUCGAUUUCCAAAUGACUUACAGGUAUAACUACCAGAACAAUAAUAAUCAAAGGAGAGCAGUGGAGAGAGCAGAGAAUGGAGUCUUAAACAUCUCAGAGCACCUAAGAGGAGUUACUAAAUCUCCUUUUGUGUUCAGUAUGUUAAAACUUAAAAAAAAAGUGGGAGUUCCUGUCCUGGCUCAGCAGUUAGCGAACCCAACUAGCAUUCUUGAGGAUGCAGGUUUGAUCCCUGGCCUUGCUCAGUGGGUUAAGGAUCCAGCGUUGCCAUGCACUGUGGUGUAGGUCGUAGACGCACCUUGGAUCCAGCAUGACUGUGGCUGUGGCUGGCAGCUACAGUUCCGAUUGGAUCCCUAGCCUGGGAACCUCCAUAUGCCAAAAUUACGGCCCUAAAAGAAAAUAGGACCAAGAAAAAAAAAAAAAAAAAA